Molecule: long non-coding RNA, 247 nt
Filed under: Elaeis guineensis (African oil palm)
Lineage: Eukaryota; Viridiplantae; Streptophyta; Magnoliopsida; Arecales; Arecaceae
Description: long non-coding RNA (EGUI_LNC068937)
Source: RNAcentral
GGUUACCUCUCAGUAAGUGCUAAGUUUAAUGUCUUCAGCUAGACUUUUAUUAAGACUACUUCUAAGAAAUUGAGUUGCCUCUCAACAAGCGCUAAGUUUAACAUCUUCAGUUAAAUAUUAUGAGGGAGUCCCACUCAUAACCAAUCUUGGUAUGUCCCUCAGGAUUUUAAAAGGACAAGGCCAAUUAGGAGGCCUUAUCAUCAUGGUAGUAAGAUAUCCAUGGAAUGCUCGAUGAUGAUUAGCCCAG